This 252-nucleotide ribosomal RNA is filed under the name uncultured Bacteroidales bacterium. RNAcentral's name for it is "partial 16S ribosomal RNA". It matches the Rfam family "Bacterial small subunit ribosomal RNA", at positions 524 to 776 of the family's 1533-position model. The record is from RNAcentral. Lineage: Bacteria; Pseudomonadati; Bacteroidota; Bacteroidia; Bacteroidales.
UACGGAGGAUGCGAGCGUUAUCCGGAUUUAUUGGGUUUAAAGGGUGCGUAGGCGGGACCUUAAGUCAGCGGUAAAAUUGCGGUGCUCAACCCCGGCCUGCCGUUGAAACUGGCGGCCUCGAGUGGGCGAGAAGUAUGCGGAAUGCGUGGUGUAGCGGUGAAAUGCAUAGAUAUCGCGCAGAACUCCGAUUGCGAAGGCAGCAUGCCGGCUCCACACUGACGCUGAGGCACGAAAGCGUGGGUAUCGAACAGG